UUCCUUUUUAUAUGCAGGCUACAACAGAGCUCCUAGCCGAAGCUCAUCCAGGAGCGACACCACUAGCUGCUCGAACAAAUCAAACGAGGGUGCACCGGCCUCCAGCACGAAGCCUGCGAUUUGAGGCAGUCCUUUGCACUCCACCUCAUGCCCGUGCAUUGUUGGUACGCGUAUUUGAGCUCGAGUGUAUGCGCACCUCUGCAACCCCAUAACUAGAGACCGAAAUCAAGGGAUUUGAUUGGUGAGUGAUGGAAAAAAGGAGAGGAAUAGCAGCAGGAAUAGAAGGAUUUCGGUUCCAGUAGCAAAAGUCAAUCCUUAAUCAUCGUAGAGAGCAAGCUGGACAAGGAGGCAGGAAGCAUAGAAGUUGGGGAAGAGAGAUCCAUGUGUUGGCGAGUGCUAGCUGGGUGUGUGACUCCUGUUUGAGAGAGAGGGAGGACCUUUGCUGGGCACUCAAAGGAUGUGCUCGGAUAUGGUGGUCCAACUGCAAGGUAAUGCUAACACAUCUUGUUACUCUUUCUUCAAUUUUGAUAGGUUUACGACAGUUCCAUUCAAGCACAAAUAUGUUUAUGACAUUAAUUCAAAGUUGUAAAAUACAUAUGUUUAUAAUAGUUUAAUUAUUCUUACAUGAUUUUCACAUAUAUGUGUUGCUUUAGCCAAAAAAAUGUGCAGUGAACUUGUUACAUAGGACACCCUAGGUAUCGCCACUGGCAUCGACUAGACGACGCCCAUCACUGACACACUCUUGUCUUGGUAGCAUUGGCCCAGCUCAUUGACACACUUUAAUGGAAAUAUAAAGCCAUGGCUUGAUGUUGCUUUCAACAAGUAUAAUGCUCUGUGAACUAAGCAUGUAGAGACUGAAAUGGAAUUUGUGACACUAUGUAAUUUUAUAUCUGAAGUGAUUGAAGAAAUGCUCCACGAAUAAGGUAUCCACUCAUAUAUGUUCAACAUCAUGUACUUAAGCCAAUGCUAUUUUUAGGCUUGCUGACUUGCUUUAUUCAUGAUCGAUGAGCUUUAUUACUUAGCAUGUAACCUUCCCAGUUUAUUUACUAAUCCUCCAUCUUUUUUUAGUUAUGUGUACAUCCUUCCAUUCAAGUAUGGAAACAGGCAAUUCCAGCCAUCAACAGUUGCCGCACCUGCCAACAUUAAAGAAAUUAUGUAGGCCUUAUGUAGUUGUUUUAGCUUUCUCUUGACAUACUUUAUAUAUGUUCAUGAUAAGUUGGGAUGGAGGAUUAUCAGUGUAAUAUGCACUUGCCUUUGUUAAAGCAAUCGGAUAUAGACCUGUCUGUGAGAUCUUUAGAGAUCAUUUAAGAACAUGUAUGUUUAAGCCUAUGAACAGAGACAAAGCCAAAUAUGUGCUGCAAAAUGUUCCAGUUUGCAGCCAAAUAUAUAUGCAAGAACUGUUACCUA
This 1407-nucleotide long non-coding RNA is filed under the name Triticum aestivum (bread wheat). Its description in RNAcentral is "long non-coding RNA (TAES_LNC013438)". Lineage: Eukaryota; Viridiplantae; Streptophyta; Magnoliopsida; Poales; Poaceae. The record is from RNAcentral.